GACGAACGCUGGCGGCGUGCUUAACACAUGCAAGUCGAACGGUGAGGCUCCAGCUUGCUGGAGUGGAUCAGUGGCGAACGGGUGAGUAACACGUGAGCAACCUGCCCCUGACUCUGGCAUAAGCGCUGGAAACGGCGUCUAAUACUGGAUACGAGAAGGGUCCGCAUGGGCACUUUCUGGAAAGUUUUUCGGUUGGGGAUGGGCUCGCGGCCUAUCAGCUUGUUGGUGAGGUAAUGGCUCACCAAGGCGACGACGGGUAGCCGGCCUGAGAGGGCGACCGGCCACACUGGGACUGAGACACGGCCCAGACGCCUACGGGAGGCAGCAGUGGGGAAUAUUGCACAAUGGGCGAAAGCCUGAUGCAGCGACGCCGCGUGAGGGAUGACGGCCUUCGGGUUGUAAACCUCUUUCAGCAGGGAAGAAGCGAAAGUGACGGUACCUUCAGAAGAAGCACCGGCUAACUACGUG
Molecule: ribosomal RNA, 468 nt
Filed under: uncultured bacterium
Lineage: Bacteria
Description: partial 16S ribosomal RNA
Rfam family: Bacterial small subunit ribosomal RNA
Source: RNAcentral